Heterocephalus glaber (naked mole-rat) is the source of this 1559-nucleotide long non-coding RNA. Lineage: Eukaryota; Metazoa; Chordata; Mammalia; Rodentia; Bathyergidae. The record is from Ensembl.
GGGCAACCACAGGGAAGGGGAAGGUUGAAGGGGAACUGCUCACAAGGGAAACGAGCCUUCUUUACCAACAUGGAUGGCCAACAUGCACACCAAAUGAUGCUGACCACAAGAAAGAUAAAAAGCACAACCAAAAUGAGCCAUCACUCCAGGCUCAGGACAAUUGGUAAAAUAAGAAUAACUGCAGCUCAGCUGUGAGCACAAGACCCACUGCAAGUUACCAGUCUAGAGCUAAGCUCUGGGCAACCUGAAGUAGACUGGCCACACAUCUGGAGAUGCCAGGUCAGCCCAAUGGAGGGGGGGAGGAAAUCAGAACUAAAAGGACUGCAGUUUGGCCAAAAAGGACUGAAAUUUCCCAAUGAGGAUCAAUUCUUUUUCAACUGCAGUGCUGGGAUCAAACCUAGAGCCUCGAGCAUCCAAGCUUCCGGUGUUGACGGAGACUCUCAUAUUGGUUCUUCAAUCCCAUGGCAUCCUCAUCCCCUAGCAGUGACCCCUCUGACACAGAGGACUGCAAUUCUGAAACCAAAUGCAUGCUGAGCCUCUCUGGGGGCUGUCUCCCCAGUGAAGAGCCCUCGUCCUGUGAGGACAUCAUCCUUCCUGAAGACACGACUCCCAGUGUGUGUUCUUCAGGUGACCUCAUCUCUGCUAUCCAAGGCAGGUGGGGGCCUGAAGGGAACAAGAGAUGGCCCAACCUAUGAAAGCUACUUCAGGAUGACCCACAGCAGAUCUACAACCUAGGUAUCACUGUGCCCUGGGCUGACGACAAUGGCUUUGAAGAAUCAGCUGCUCAUGAAAAUCUACAGAGGCAAAGAUGAAACAAAAUGUACUGAAGGAAAACUGGAUGGUCUUGUGAAACUGCUGAAGACAUUUCAGGGCUUUUACAUGGAUGAUGAAGAAAUCCAAAAGGAAGACAAUGAAAAUCCCCAAAAAAUUCGGAAGAAGAAGAAAGAUGAGGACCAGGAUUGCCUCAAACUUACUCUGGCCAAAGACCUCAGGCUGAGCAGCUGUUCCCCUGCCCAGCUCACUCAUUAGGGACAUGAGGCAUGUCUAGACUCGCCCAUGUGCAAACCAUCAGGAAACACAGAUGUCAUCCCAGUCCCAAAGCUGCCUGUGACACUGAAGGGACAGGAACGUGCCGAGGUGAACAGAGCUGCCUCCCAGAGAGCAAGGGCCAGGCCCAGUGGGGAGCAGACGGCAGUCGAGGGGAGCAGCAGCCACAAGUCAGGGAUCACAGAGCCCUCCACCUCCUCAGCACACCCAGAGGAUGACGCCCCCAGACCACAGAGAACCUGUUUGCUCAUGGGGCAGGCCUUCCACCGGCUGCUCGAGAGUCCUUUCUAAGAGAUGUAGAAGACAGGAUCCUAAGCAGGACACCAAGAGCCGCCCUCAGCAGGCUCCAAAGAGAAGUUGAUGUCUUAGAGGCAAAUGGAUCCAGCCUGAAGGACCCCUUGAGCAGUUAGGACCACCCCACAUCCCCAUAUUUCCCCCCACUAUGUGCUACCCCAUCAUCCCAAAUACACAUAGUUGAUAUUUCUCAAUAAAGCACAUGUUCUUGUCAUCUG